GACGAACGCUGGCGGCGUGCUUAACACAUGCAAGUCGAACGGUGAAGCUCCAGCUUGCUGGAGUGGAUCAGUGGCGAACGGGUGAGUAACACGUGAGCAACCUGCCCCUGACUCUGGAAUAAGCGCUGGAAACGGCGUCUAAUACUGGAUACGAGAAGGGUCCGCAUGGGCACUUUCUGGAAAGUUUUUCGGUUGGGGAUGGCUCGCGGCCUAUCAGCUUGUUGGUGAGGUAAUGGCUCACCAAGGCGACGACGGGUAGCCGGCCUGAGAGGGCGACCGGCCACACUGGGACUGAGACACGGCCCAGACUCCUACGGGAGGCAGCAGUGGGGAAUAUUGCACAAUGGGCGAAAGCCUGAUGCAGCGACGCCGCGUGAGGGAUGACGGCCUUCGGGUUGUAAACCUCUUUCAGCAGGGAAGAAGCGAAAGUGACGGUACCUGCAGAAGAAGCACCGGCUAACUACGUG
Molecule: ribosomal RNA, 467 nt
Filed under: uncultured bacterium
Lineage: Bacteria
Description: partial 16S ribosomal RNA
Rfam family: Bacterial small subunit ribosomal RNA
Source: RNAcentral